RNAcentral lists this ribosomal RNA (660 nucleotides) under Bacillus sp. AR-367. Its description in RNAcentral is "bacterial SSU rRNA". It matches the Rfam family "Bacterial small subunit ribosomal RNA", at positions 88 to 732 of the family's 1533-position model. The record is from RNAcentral. Lineage: Bacteria; Bacillati; Bacillota; Bacilli; Caryophanales; Bacillaceae.
GAAGUUAGCGGCGGACGGGUGAGUAACACGUGGGUAACCUGCCCAUAAGACUGGGAUAACUCCGGGAAACCGGGGCUAAUACCGGAUAAUAUUUUGAACUGCAUGGUUCGAAAUUGAAAGGCGGCUUCGGCUGUCACUUAUGGAUGGACCCGCGUCGCAUUAGCUAGUUGGUGAGGUAACGGCUCACCAAGGCAACGAUGCGUAGCCGACCUGAGAGGGUGAUCGGCCACACUGGGACUGAGACACGGCCCAGACUCCUACGGGAGGCAGCAGUAGGGAAUCUUCCGCAAUGGACGAAAGUCUGACGGAGCAACGCCGCGUGAGUGAUGAAGGCUUUCGGGUCGUAAAACUCUGUUGUUAGGGAAGAACAAGUGCUAGUUGAAUAAGCUGGCACCUUGACGGUACCUAACCAGAAAGCCACGGCUAACUACGUGCCAGCAGCCGCGGUAAUACGUAGGUGGCAAGCGUUAUCCGGAAUUAUUGGGCGUAAAGCGCGCGCAGGUGGUUUCUUAAGUCUGAUGUGAAAGCCCACGGCUCAACCGUGGAGGGUCAUUGGAAACUGGGAGACUUGAGUGCAGAAGAGGAAAGUGGAAUUCCAUGUGUAGCGGGUGAAAUGCGUAGAGAUAUGGAGGAACACCAGUGGCGAAGGCGACUUUUCUG